This 321-nucleotide ribosomal RNA is filed under the name uncultured archaeon. RNAcentral describes it as "bacterial SSU rRNA". It matches the Rfam family "Archaeal small subunit ribosomal RNA", at positions 19 to 338 of the family's 1478-position model. The record is from RNAcentral.
GGAGGUUACUGCUAUCGGUGUUCGCCUAACCCAUGCAAGUCAUAUGUUCUUCGUGAACAUGGCGUACUGCUCAGUAACACGUGAAUAACCUGCCCUUGGGACCGGCAUAACCCCGGGAAACUGGGGAUAAUUCCGGAUACCGCAUAUAUGCUGGAAUGCUUUAUGCGUGAAAUGGAUUCUUCUGCCCAAGGAUGGGUCUGCGGCCUAUCAGGUAGUAGUGGGUGUAAUGUACCUACUACCCUACAACGGGUACGGGUUGUGAAACCAAAACCCCGGAAAUGGAUUCUGAAACAUGAGUCCAGGCCCUACGGGGCGCACCAC